RNAcentral lists this ribosomal RNA (298 nucleotides) under uncultured bacterium. RNAcentral describes it as "partial 16S ribosomal RNA". It matches the Rfam family "Bacterial small subunit ribosomal RNA", at positions 334 to 630 of the family's 1533-position model. The record is from RNAcentral.
UAUGCCUACGGGAGGCAGCAGUGAGGAAUAUUGGUCAAUGGCCGAGAGGCUGAACCAGCCAAGUCGCGUGAGGGAAGACGGCCCUACGGGUUGUAAACCUCUUUUGUCGGGGAGCAAAGAGAGUCACGUGUGACUCAUUGAGAGUACCCGAAGAAAAAGCAUCGGCUAACUCCGUGCCAGCAGCGGCGGUAAUACGGAGGAUGCGAGCGUUAUCCGGAUUUAUUGGGUUAAAAGGGGGCGCAGGCGGAUUUUUAAGUCAGCGUUCAAAUGGUGGGGCUAAACCCCAUCAACCGGUUGA